Molecule: ribosomal RNA, 305 nt
Filed under: uncultured bacterium
Lineage: Bacteria
Description: bacterial SSU rRNA
Rfam family: Bacterial small subunit ribosomal RNA
Source: RNAcentral
GGUCCUACGGGGCGCAGCAGUGGGGAAUAUUGCACAAUGGGGGAAACCCUGAUGCAGCGACGCCGCGUGAGUGAAGAAGUAAUUCGUUAUGUAAAGCUCUAUCAGCAGGGAAGAAAAUGACGGUACCUGAGUAAGAAGCCCCGGCUAACUACGUGCCAGCAGCCGCGGUAAUACGUAGGGGGCAAGCGUUAUCCGGAUUUACUGAGUGUAAAGGGAGCGCAGGCGGCACGGCAAGCCUGAUGUGAAAGCCCGCGGCCCAACCGCGGGACUGCAUUGGGAACUACCGGGCUGGAGUGCCGGAGAGG